Molecule: transfer RNA, 88 nt
Filed under: Gemmatimonadales bacterium
Lineage: Bacteria; Pseudomonadati; Gemmatimonadota; Gemmatimonadia; Gemmatimonadales
Description: tRNA-Ser
Rfam family: tRNA
About the family: Transfer RNA (tRNA) molecules are approximately 80 nucleotides in length. Their secondary structure includes four short double-helical elements and three loops (D, anti-codon, and T loops).
Source: RNAcentral
GGACAGAUGGCCGAGUGGCUUAAGGCGCACGCCUGGAAAGCGUGUGUACGUCAAAAGCGUACCGAGGGUUCGAAUCCCUCUCUGUCCG